This 164-nucleotide ribosomal RNA is filed under the name uncultured bacterium. RNAcentral's name for it is "partial 16S rRNA". It matches the Rfam family "Bacterial small subunit ribosomal RNA", at positions 355 to 511 of the family's 1533-position model. The record is from RNAcentral.
UAGGGAAUCUUCCACAAUGGACGCAAGUCUGAUGGAGCAACGCCGCGUGAGUGAAGAAGGGUUUCGGCUCGUAAAGCUCUGUUGUUAAAGAAGAAUGUGGGUAAGAGUAACUGUUUACCCAGUGACGGUAUUUAACCAGAAAGCCACGGCUAACUACGUGUCAG